AAAUAUGACAUAUUAGCAUUUUUACAGAAGUCAAAAUGUCAAUUUUCAGUCAACUCGUUUAGAAGUGCAUAUUCAAGAGGCUCAAAAGUCAAGUCGGCUGAUCGUUAUAUAUAGGAGCUUUAUCAGCCUAUUCCGACCAUAAUUGACAUGGACGCUAGAAUGUAUCCUGAAGAUAUUUAAACCAAGUAGAAACGAGAUUCAAUUACCUUCCUCGUUCCCGUAUUCUUUCAAAAGAUCGUCAUCUUUAGAAUUUUUUUGAUCCAGCGCAUUUUCCUGAAAUAUAGGCUUGGCUCUCACAUCGUAAAUUAUGAUAUCUGCAAGAGGAAUAUUCUGUACAUCAAUAUCGGAAUCUGCUACAUUUAUGUUAACCAAGCCAUCCGAGAGAUUUAAAACACCAGGCGGUAAAGAGUUUUGGGCAACAUGUUCGUUGAAAGCUGCAAAGUCAAAGCUUUCACUUAUCACUUUCUCAUUAUUCGACAUGUCCUCGUACGCUAACGUAUUUUCUCUAUUGUCAGAGUCCGAAUCAAGAACUUCAUCUUCUUGAACUUCCUCAAUCAAAUCAGUAUCACAAAUCCCAAUCAUUUCGGGCGUUGACGGGUGUAUCAAUUCCUCAAAUUUCAACUCAUUUACCCCCAGUGAGGACGUGGGGCUGUUUUCGUUGUGCAAUAUUCUAAGAUCAACCAAGUCAUGUAUGGUGUUGUUUUCCUUGUAAGAAUUCAGUAUGCGCUCCCUUAAUUGCGCAAACCUUUUUUCCAAGCUUUCAUAUUCCAAAAUAUCAGCAUUACAUGAAUCACACAAUAACUAAAAAACAGAUUGAAUAAACUUUUAAAACUUUACAAUACAUA
Stomoxys calcitrans (stable fly) is the source of this 845-nucleotide long non-coding RNA. RefSeq lists it as uncharacterized. Lineage: Eukaryota; Metazoa; Arthropoda; Insecta; Diptera; Muscidae. The transcript has 3 exons. The record is from RefSeq and is a predicted model, not a curated record.